GCGUUUGGGGCGUUCUCCCAGCCGUGCGCUCCGGGAGGGGAUUCGCGGCUCACGCGGGGUGAAUACCCUGGCGCCUCUGAUUAGCACUUCUUGGCAGGAAGACCUCGGAUAUUUUCACCAGAGCUCGGUCUCUGGAUUUAUUGUGGGCUACUGCCGUCUAUGGGGUUGCACAGAGUCGGACACGACUGAAGCGACUUAGCAGCAGUAGUAGCUGUAACAAUGUGAUCAUCACCAGUCUGGGUCCACCGUAAGGAAUUCUGCACGUCGUGUAUCAAACUCUGGAAGAUCUGCGGAGCAGAACUUCCUGAUGGGCCAUCCUGUGGUCCCCGUGUGUGCGUACAUGCUAAGUUGCUUACCAUCAUGCAAAAGAUGAAAUUGAAGCAAGAAGACAUCUUUGACUGGAAAGUGAUUAGAACACUUAAUCCUCCAGUUAUAGCCUAUCCACAGUGAGCUUUAUCUUGGUUGAGCCAAUCAUGGCAAGGGCGGAAAGUAUGUUAGCUGCCUUAGCUCCUGGGCUAAGAAUGGAAUCUUAGCCGCUGAGACACAGGAUGUAUCCACGUAGCUCUUAACCAUAGCUUUCUCUGUGCUCUCCUUCUCCUGUCCUGGCCCCAGGUGGGAAGACUGGAUUUCUUCUUUACAUUAUUCACCAACAUUGUACAUUUAACCCCUCUACAGCCCUGCCCUGAAUUCCAACCUAGAGCUGGAUUUGGCUCUAUUCUGAAAGCAAGUUACUGUGUCCACCCAGCAAGACUGACUCCAGGUCAUCUGCUUGCCUGCAACGUGUUGCUGUCAUUUCCUGACCUAUGCUUUUUAAAACCUUGUUUACUGACAUAUUCCUGAACCAAACCUAAAUGUCUCAAGCUCUUUGAAUCACAGGUCCAACAUCUGCUGCUAGUUAGUAAUUAACCAUUUCAAUAUUGCCUUCUCCCACACUUAGACCAGCUUGUAUCAUGCAUGGUAGGAUGAGAUGGUAGUUCUAUCUUUAAUUAUUUGGAGAACCUCCAUACUGUUUUUCGUAGUGGCUGCACCAAUUUACAUUCCCAUCAACAAUGCAUGGGGUUUCCCUCUUCUCCACGUCCUCACUAACAUUUGUUGUUCCUUGUCUUUUUGAUUAUAGCCAUUCUAAAGGUGUGAGGUGAUAUCUCAGGAUGGUUUUGAUGUGCACUUUCCUGGCCUGCCAGGCUCCUUCCUCUGUCCAUGGGAUUCUCCAGGCAAGAAUACUGGAGUGGGUUGCAUGCCCUCCUCCAGGAGACCUCCCUGAGCCAGAGAUUGGACCCACAUCCCUUAUGUUUCCUGCUUGGCAGGCAGGUUCUUUACCACUAGCGCCACCUGGGAAGCCCAAUAACUAGCAACGUUGAGCAGCUUUCAUGUACCUGCUGGCCAUCUGUUUGUCUGUCUUCUUUGGGAAAAUGUUUAGUCAGAUCUGCUCAUUUAAAAUUGGAUGGUUUGGGGGAUUUUUGCUCUUGAGUUGCAUGAGUUCUUUAUGCAUUUUGGAUAUUAACCCAUACCAGAUAUAUGAGUUACAAAUUUUUCUCCAGUUUGGUAGCUUGCCUUUUCAUUUUGAUGGUUUCCUUUAUUAUAAAGAAGAUUUUCAGUUUGAUGUAGUCCCACAUGUUUAUUUGUGCUUUAUUGCCUUUGAUUUUGUUGUCAGAUCCAGAAAACCAUUGCUACGACUAAUGCCAAGGAGUUUUCCAUCAUCAAUUCUUAAUUAAAAAGUAAGAAGACAAAUACCUCUGGCUUCUAUUUGAAUAUAUAAUAAGAUCUGACAAACCUUAGCUCAGUAUGUUAGAAGUGACUAUGGCUACAAAAUAGCAAGUAUUUAAAAGAAAUAUUACUAAUAUUAUAAAGGAUACAGGAUAAUAGACACUCUCAUAUACUACUUGUGAAACUUAAAAGUGUUAAGCCUUAUCUAGGGUGUUCACUAAAUAAUUUUAGAAAAAAAUACAUCUGUUUUGAGCCAACAGAUAUCCAUAAAAUGAAAUGACAAAUAAAUUAUUUGCCCUUUUCAAAGUU
This is a non-coding RNA of Odocoileus virginianus texanus, 2013 nucleotides long. Lineage: Eukaryota; Metazoa; Chordata; Mammalia; Artiodactyla; Cervidae. The record is from RefSeq and is a predicted model, not a curated record.